Molecule: ribosomal RNA, 468 nt
Filed under: uncultured bacterium
Lineage: Bacteria
Description: partial 16S ribosomal RNA
Rfam family: Bacterial small subunit ribosomal RNA
Source: RNAcentral
GAUGAACGCUGGCGGCGUGCUUAACACAUGCAAGUCGAACGGAAAGGCCCGGCUCUUGUGGCUUGCUCGAUUGGCGAACGGGGGAGUAACACGUGAGUAACCUGCCCCUGUAUUUGUGAUAUCUUCACGGGACUGGGGCUAAUACCCGAUAUAAUCUCUUGCUGCAUGGGGUGGGUUGGAGAGUUUCGGCGGUUGUGGAUGGUUUCGCUGCUUAUCCGCUAGUUGGUGGGGUAGUGGCUUACCAAGGGUUUGACGGGUAGCCUGCCUGAGAGGGUGACCGGGCACAUUGGGCCUGCGGUAGGGACCAGACUCCUACGGGAGGCAGCAGUGGGGAGUAUUGCAGAGUGGGCGGACGCGUGAUGCAGAGACGCCGGGUGCGGGAUGCCGGCCUUCGGGGUAUAAACCACUUUGGCAGGUGCUGAAGAGUGCGUGACGGUACUGGGUAAAAAAGCAACGGCUAACUACGUG